GACGAACGUUGGCGGCGUGCCUAAUACAUGCAAGUCGAACGAAGACUGUAGUAAUACUGUCUUAGUGGCGAACGGGUGAGUAACGCGUGGGUGACCUGCCCCGAAGUGUGGGAUAACAGUCCGAAAGGAUUGCUAAUACUGCAUAAUAUCCAAGAGAUUAGAUGCUUUUGGAUUAAAGGAGUAAUUCGCUUCGGGAGGGGCCCGCGUCCCAUCAGCUAGUCGGUAAGGUAAUGGCUUACCAAGGCGAUGACGGGUAGGGGACCUGAGAGGGUGGCCCCCACAAUGGAACUGAAACACGGUCCAUACACCUACGGGUGGCAGCAGUAGGGAAUAUUAGUAAUGGGCGAAAGCCUGAACUAGCAACGCCGCGUGUGCGAAGAAGGCCUUCGGGUCGUAAAGCACUUUUUGAGAGGAUGAGGAAGGACGGUACUCUCAGAAUAAGUCUCGGCUAACUACGUG
This 459-nucleotide ribosomal RNA is filed under the name uncultured bacterium. Its description in RNAcentral is "bacterial SSU rRNA". It matches the Rfam family "Bacterial small subunit ribosomal RNA", at positions 28 to 507 of the family's 1533-position model. The record is from RNAcentral.